GAGGCUCAACCUCGGGUUUGCAGUGGGUACGGGCAGACUAGAGUGCGGUAGGGGAGAUUGGAAUUCCUGGUGUAGCGGUGGAAUGCGCAGAUAUCAGGAGGAACACCGAUGGCGAAGGCAGAUCUCUGGGCCGYAACUGACGCUGAGGAGCGAAAGCAUGGGGAGCGAACAGGAUUAGAUACCCUGGUAGUCCAUGCCGUAAACGUUGGGMACUAGAUGUGGGGWCCAUUCCACGGUCUCCGUGUCGCAGCUAACGCAUUAAGUUCCCCGCCUGGGGAGUACGGCCGCAAGGCUAAAACUCAAAGGAAUUGACGGGGGCCCGCACAAGCGGCGGAGCAUGCGGAUUAAUUCGAUGCAACGCGAAGAACCUUACCAAGGCUUGACAUACACCGGAAACAUUCAGAGAUGUGUGCCCCGCAAGGUCGGUAUACAGGUGGUGCAUGGUUGUCGUCAGCUCGUGUCGUGAGAUGUUGGGUUAAGUCCCGCAACGAGCGCAACCCUCGUUCCAUGUUGCCAGCAGGUAAUGGUGGGAACUCAUAGGAGACUGCCGGGGUCAACUCGGAGGAAGGUGGGGAUGACGUCAAAUCAUCAUGCCCCUUAUGUCUUGGGCUUCACGCAUGCUACAAUGGCCGGUACAAAGGGCUGCGAUACCGUAAGGUGGAGCGAAUCCCAAAAAGCCGGUCUCAGUUCGGAUUGGGGUCUGCAACUCGACCUCAUGAAGUCGGAGUCGCUAGUAAUCGCAGAUCAGC
RNAcentral lists this ribosomal RNA (749 nucleotides) under Clavibacter sp. Its description in RNAcentral is "bacterial SSU rRNA". Lineage: Bacteria; Bacillati; Actinomycetota; Actinomycetes; Micrococcales; Microbacteriaceae. The record is from RNAcentral.